This is a non-coding RNA of Podarcis lilfordi (Lilford's wall lizard), 73 nucleotides long. NCBI's taxonomy places the organism in Eukaryota, Metazoa, Chordata, Lepidosauria, Squamata, Lacertidae. The record is from the annotation of a GenBank genome assembly.
UCCUCAGCUCAUUUGCUAGAGCAUAGGACUCUUAAUCUCAAGGUUGUGGGUUCGAGCCCCAUGCUGAGCGAAA